RNAcentral lists this ribosomal RNA (253 nucleotides) under uncultured bacterium. RNAcentral describes it as "partial 16S ribosomal RNA". It matches the Rfam family "Bacterial small subunit ribosomal RNA", at positions 524 to 776 of the family's 1533-position model. The record is from RNAcentral.
UACAGAGGGUGCUAGCGUUGUUCGGAAUCAUUGGGCGUAAAGGGCGUGUAGGCGGUUUGUUAAGUCAUGUGUGAAAUCCCUCGGCUCAACCGGGGAACGACGCAUGAAACUGGCAAGCUAGAGUACCAAAGAGGGGGGUGGAAUUCCCGGUGUAGCGGUGGAAUGCGUAGAGAUCCGGAAGAACACCGGUGGCGAAGGCGGUCUGCUGGGCAGUAGCUGACACUGAUGCGCGACAGCGUGGGGAGCAAACAGG